RNAcentral lists this ribosomal RNA (497 nucleotides) under uncultured bacterium. Its description in RNAcentral is "partial 16S ribosomal RNA". It matches the Rfam family "Bacterial small subunit ribosomal RNA", at positions 28 to 507 of the family's 1533-position model. The record is from RNAcentral.
GAUGAACGCUGGCGGCGUGCCUAAUACAUGCAAGUCGAGCGAACAGACGAGGAGCUUGCUCCUCUGACGUUAGCGGCGGACGGGUGAGUAACACGUGGAUAACCUACCUAUAAGACUGGGAUAACUUCGGGAAACCGGAGCUAAUACCGGAUAAUAUAUUGAACCGCAUGGUUCAAUAGUGAAAGACGGUUUUGCUGUCACUUAUAGAUGGAUCCGCGCCGCAUUAGCUAGUUGGUAAGGUAACGGCUUACCAAGGCAACGAUGCGUAGCCGACCUGAGAGGGUGAUCGGCCACACUGGAACUGAGACACGGUCCAGACUCCUACGGGAGGCAGCAGUAGGGAAUCGUGCGCAAUGGGCGAAAGCCUGACGGAGCAACGCCGCGUGAGUGAUGAAGGGCUUCGGAUCGUAAAACUCUGUUAUUAGGGAAGAACAAAUGUGUAAGUAACUAUGCACGUCUUGACGGUACCUAAUCAGAAAGCCACGGCUAACUACGUG